RNAcentral lists this ribosomal RNA (1412 nucleotides) under bacterium NLAE-zl-P581. RNAcentral's name for it is "16S ribosomal RNA". It matches the Rfam family "Bacterial small subunit ribosomal RNA". The record is from RNAcentral.
GAACGCUGAAGAGAGGAGCUUGCUCUUCUUGGAUGAGUUGCGAACGGGUGAGUAACGCGUAGGUAACCUGCCUUGUAGCGGGGGAUAACUAUUGGAAACGAUAGCUAAUACCGCAUAACAAUGGAUGACACAUGUCAUUUAUUUGAAAGGGGCAAUUGCUCCACUACAAGAUGGACCUGCGUUGUAUUAGCUAGUAGGUGAGGUAACGGCUCACCUAGGCGACGAUACAUAGCCGACCUGAGAGGGUGAUCGGCCACACUGGGACUGAGACACGGCCCAGACUCCUACGGGAGGCAGCAGUAGGGAAUCUUCGGCAAUGGGGGCAACCCUGACCGAGCAACGCCGCGUGAGUGAAGAAGGUUUUCGGAUCGUAAAGCUCUGUUGUAAGUCAAGAACGAGUGUGAGAGUGGAAAGUUCACACUGUGACGGUAGCUUACCANAAAGGGACGGCUAACUACGUGCCAGCAGCCGCGGUAAUACGUANGUCCCGAGCGUUGUCCGGAUUUAUUGGGCGUAAAGCGAGCGCAGGCGGUUUGAUAAGUCUGAAGUUAAAGGCUGUGGCUCAACCAUAGUUCGCUUUGGAAACUGUCAAACUUGAGUGCAGAAGGGGAGAGUGGAAUUCCAUGUGUAGCGGUGAAAUGCGUAGAUAUAUGGAGGAACACCGGUGGCGAAAGCGGCUCUCUGGUCUGUAACUGACGCUGAGGCUCGAAAGCGUGGGGAGCGAACAGGAUUAGAUACCCUGGUAGUCCACGCCGUAAACGAUGAGUGCUAGGUGUUGGAUCCUUUCCGGGAUUCAGUGCCGCAGCUAACGCAUUAAGCACUCCGCCUGGGGAGUACGACCGCAAGGUUGAAACUCAAAGGAAUUGACGGGGGCCCGCACAAGCGGUGGAGCAUGUGGUUUAAUUCGAAGCAACGCGAAGAACCUUACCAGGUCUUGACAUCCCGAUGCUAUUUCUAGAGAUAGAAAGUUACUUCGGUACAUCGGUGACAGGUGGUGCAUGGUUGUCGUCAGCUCGUGUCGUGAGAUGUUGGGUUAAGUCCCGCAACGAGCGCAACCCCUAUUGUUAGUUGCCAUCAUUCAGUUGGGCACUCUAGCGAGACUGCCGGUAAUAAACCGGAGGAAGGUGGGGAUGACGUCAAAUCAUCAUGCCCCUUAUGACCUGGGCUACACACGUGCUACAAUGGUUGGUACAACGAGUUGCGAGUCGGUGACGGCAAGCUAAUCUCUUAAAGCCAAUCUCAGUUCGGAUUGUAGGCUGCAACUCGCCUACAUGAAGUCGGAAUCGCUAGUAAUCGCGGAUCAGCACGCCGCGGUGAAUACGUUCCCGGGCCUUGUACACACCGCCCGUCACACCACGAGAGUUUGUAACACCCGAAGUCGGUGAGGUAACCUUUGGAGCCAGCCGCCUAAG